GUUAUGUAGUGGUUAUAGAUGGGCUCACGGCCUAUCAGCUUGUUGGUGAGGUAACGGCUCACCAAGGCGACGACGGGUAGCCGGCCUGAGAGGGUGACCGGCCACACUGGGACUGAGACACGGCCCAGAUUCCUACGGGAGGCAGCAGUGGGGAAUAUUGCACAAUGGGCGCAAGCCUGAUGCAGCGACGCCGCGUGAGGGAUGACGGCCUUCGGGUUGUAAACCUCUGUUAGCAGGGAAGAAGAGAGAUUGACGGUACCUGCAGAGAAAGCGCCGGCUAACUACGUGCCAGCAGCCGCGGUAAUACGUAGGGCGCGAGCGUUGUCCGGAAUUAUUGGGCGUAAAGAGCUUGUAGGCGGUUUGUCGCGUCUGCUGUGAAAGGCCGGAGCUUAACUCCGUGUAUUGCAGUGGGUACGGGCAGACUAGAGUGCAGUAGGGGAGACUGGAAUUCCUGGUGUAGCGGUGGAAUGCGCAGAUAUCAGGAGGAACACCGAUGGCGAAGGCAGGUCUCUGGGCUGUAACUGACGCUGAGAAGCGAAAGCAUGGGAGCGAACAGGAUUAGAUACCCUGGUAGUCCAUGCCGUAAACGUUGGGCACUAGGUGUGGGGGACAUUCCACGUUUUCCGCGCCGUAGCUAAUGCAUUAAGUGCCCCGCCUGGGGAGUACGGCCGCAAGGCUAAAACUCAAAGAAAUUGACGGGGGCCCGCACAAGCGGCGGAGCAUGCGGAUUAAUUCGAUGCAACGCGAAGAACCUUACCAAGGCUUGACAUAUACUGGACCGCAUCAGAGAUGGUGUUUCCCUUCGGGGCUGGUAUACAGGUGGUGCAUGGUUGUCGUCAGCUCGUGUCGUGAGAUGUUGGGUUAAGUCCCGCAACGAGCGCAACCCUCGUUCUAUGUUGCCAGCACGUAAUGGUGGGGACUCAUAGGA
This 928-nucleotide ribosomal RNA is filed under the name uncultured bacterium. Its description in RNAcentral is "bacterial SSU rRNA". It matches the Rfam family "Bacterial small subunit ribosomal RNA", at positions 202 to 1146 of the family's 1533-position model. The record is from RNAcentral.